Molecule: long non-coding RNA, 1303 nt
Filed under: Chloebia gouldiae (Gouldian finch)
Lineage: Eukaryota; Metazoa; Chordata; Aves; Passeriformes; Passeridae
Description: Erythrura gouldiae (Gouldian finch) lncRNA (ENSEGOG00005017292.1)
Source: RNAcentral
CUCCCAAGGAGUUCGGAGCACCGCUGAAAGCGGCCCGGUUCCUGCCGUGGCUGCCCGGCCACGCGUGCCCGUCCCCCGGUGCCGCUGCUGAGGCGUUGCCCCUGUGUGCCCCCCAGGUACAUCAGCAUCCUGCCGGCCAUCCCAGUCACGCUGUACCUGAGGCCGCAGGAGGCCCUGGAGCUGCGGCACCCCCAGGAGGCCUCGCGGUACCAGCCCCUCCCGGCCGACGCCGGCGCCCCGCCCGAGCGCCCCGCGCAGCCCCGCGCCCACCAGGACGUCACCCUCUACAAGGUGGCUGCUCUGGGCCUGGCGUCGGGCAUGCUGCUGGUGCUGCUGCUGUUCUGCCUGUACCGGGUGCUGUGCCCCAAGAACUACGGGCAGAACGGGCCGGGCCGGCGCCGCAGGGGCGACCUGCCCUGCGACGACUACGGCUACUCCCCCCCCGAGACCGAGAUCGUGCCCCUGGUGCUCAGGGGGCACCUCAUGGUAGGUCCGGCUGAGGAAUAAGUACGUGAAGAAAGGUUAUUGGAGCGAAAUUCCUGCAGCACGUUCUCCUCUCCUCCUGGGGCUUGCUGUCUGCAGUUCCCACCACUCCCUGCUGUGCUGAGCUCCAGGGGACAGCUGGAUGUGGCACUCGGUGCCCUGGGCUGGGUGACAGGGUGGGGAUCAGUCACAGGUGUGACUCAGUGGUCCAGAAAGGCUUUUCCAACCGGGAUGAGCCUGGGAUUCCUCCUGUUCUGAGAGGAAACAAAGCUCUUGGGCAUUCAGACAGACGAGUUUACAGUGCUGUGCUGUGUCUCCCAGAAAAGCUGUAUCUCUGCUCCUGAGCCCGCCCUCAAACUGGGACAGAAUUUUUUAGGGGAGGCAAGACAAGAUGGAGUCUGUUGGAUUUGCAGCAGUCCAGUUCACACUUAGGUCUCUGGGCAGAGAUCCUGGAAUCUCAGGAUGGUUUGGGUUGAAGGGGACCUUGAAACUCAUCCAGUGCCACCCCUGACAUGGCAAGGACACCUUCCACUAUCCCAGGUUGCUCCCAGCCCCAUCCAACGUCCCCUCGGACCCUUCUAGGGAUGUCCAUGUCCUCACCAUCCCUCAGUUCCUAAACCAGCCAGCUUUGACCUAAAAUCCAUCAUCUCUGCGGUUCUGCAGCCACACCAGGCUGCGGGCAGAUCCAGAGGCCUUGGUGGUGCCACACUGAGCUGUGCUUGUCCUCCCUUCCUCCCAGGACAUCGAGUGCCUGGCCAGUGACGGGAUGCUGCUGGUGAGCUGCUGCCUGGUGGGGCAGAUCCGCGUGUGGGACGCGCAG